GACGAACGCUGGCGGCGUGCUUAACACAUGCAAGUCGAACGGAAAGGCCCUGCUUUUGUGGGGUGCUCGAGUGGCGAACGGGUGAGUAACACGUGAGUAACCUGCCCUUGACUUUGGGAUAACUUCAGGAAACUGGGGCUAAUACCGGAUAGGAGCUCCUGCUGCAUGGUGGGGGUUGGAAAGUUUCGGCGGUUGGGGAUGGACUCGCGGCUUAUCAGCUUGUUGGUGGGGUAGUGGCUUACCAAGGCUUUGACGGGUAGCCGGCCUGAGAGGGUGACCGGCCACAUGGGGACUGAGAUACGGCCCAGACUCCUACGGGAGGCAGCAGUGGGGAAUAUGGCACAAUGGGCGGAAGCCUGAUGCAGCAACGCCGCGUGCGGGAUGACGGCCUUCGGGUUGUAAACCGCUUUCGCCUGUGACGAAGCGUGAGUGACGGUAAUGGGUAAAGAAGCACCGGCUAACUACGU
RNAcentral lists this ribosomal RNA (467 nucleotides) under uncultured bacterium. RNAcentral describes it as "partial 16S ribosomal RNA". It matches the Rfam family "Bacterial small subunit ribosomal RNA", at positions 28 to 506 of the family's 1533-position model. The record is from RNAcentral.